UCCAUUUGCAUUUAUUUAUUCAUUUGCACCAUUUUUCUGAAGUAGUAAUAAGUUACGCCUCAAAACACCGUGAGUAAACCUAUGAACCUAAAACUUAAGACACACGGCUGCAUCUUAAUGUACAUUCUUCGGCAAAAAUCUGAGGAAGCAAGUAAGAACCCAGAAUAAAAUACAUUUUUUAUAACGGGUACAAUUAAAACUCACUUUCCAAAGGUGCGGUUCUUAAUAUCAGUUUAACGGUAUUAUAAAUGUAAAUGCUGACCUAAAAUACGGCCAGCGUGCAUUUUACAGCCCAUAAGCUCAUCUGUAUCCUUAUUAAUUAACGAGAAGCGGGCGGAAACUGAAGAUGUAGGAAAGGCUUGUUUGUUUACAUCACACUACAAACUGCAGUUCGCCUUUUAGAGCCUGCGUCCUAAAGACCGUGGGAGUUUUAGAAGUUUGUGUCCACAGCAGCUGAUGCUGACCUUGUGCUGCGUGACUUGAACCUUAAGUAGUGCGUGUGAAGCAGCUCUUUUAUGUUCUUUGAGUCACUCGUCACCUAAAGAGAUUGGCACUUACUAGGUGAAGCACCCAAGGUAGGGGCUGUAGAGGGUGUAUGUUCAAGAAAAGGUGUGAAGUUUCCUGGCAGUCUUUUCUAAUAGAAGUGUCCAGAAUUUCUUUGCAAACCGCUUUUGUUUGCUUCUUCAAAAAACUUCAGCUGCAUUCAUCUUGUGCUGUAAAUCCAGGUAUGUA
Molecule: long non-coding RNA, 732 nt
Organism: Protopterus annectens (West African lungfish)
Lineage: Eukaryota; Metazoa; Chordata; Ceratodontiformes; Protopteridae
Exons: 3
Source: RefSeq, a predicted model, not a curated record